GGCAAGGAACACAUUCAUACUAUGAUUGAUCAGAGACCUAUUAUUAGAUCCCCACACGUGUACUUAAUGACAAUAGGAAGGCCUCAGGAGUUCAUAUUUGUUAACUACAUUUUUGUUAGCCUUAUCCGUAAAAGAAGUACGAGUAUCCUUGUUCGUACCAUAAGGUUCAUGAUUUGGUUUUCACAUAAAGAUAGAGGUUGAAUAUCCC
This 208-nucleotide long non-coding RNA is filed under the name Phoenix dactylifera (date palm). RNAcentral describes it as "long non-coding RNA (PDAC_LNC011764)". Lineage: Eukaryota; Viridiplantae; Streptophyta; Magnoliopsida; Arecales; Arecaceae. The record is from RNAcentral.